Molecule: ribosomal RNA, 449 nt
Filed under: uncultured organism
Description: partial 16S ribosomal RNA
Rfam family: Bacterial small subunit ribosomal RNA
Source: RNAcentral
GUACACUCCUGCGGGAGGCAGCAGUGGGGAAUAUUGGACAAUGGGCGCAAGCCUGAUCCAGCCAUGCCGCGUGAGUGAUGAAGGCCCUAGGGUUGUAAAGCUCUUUCACCGGAGAAGAUAAUGACGGUAUCCGGAGAAGAAGCCCCGGCUAACUUCGUGCCAGCAGCCGCGGUAAUACGAAGGGGGCUAGCGUUGUUCGGAAUUACUGGGCGUAAAGCGCACGUAGGCGGAUCGAUCAGUCAGGGGUGAAAUCCCAGGGCUCAACCCUGGAACUGCCUUUGAUACUGUCGAUCUGGAGUAUGGAAGAGGUGAGUGGAAUUCCGAGUGUAGAGGUGAAAUUCGUAGAUAUUCGGAGGAACACCAGUGGCGAAGGCGGCUCACUGGUCCAUUACUGACGCUGAGGUGCGAAAGCGUGGGGAGCAAACAGGAUUAGAAACCCUAGUAGUCCC